This 74-nucleotide transfer RNA is filed under the name Halorarum halophilum. RNAcentral describes it as "Halobaculum halophilum tRNA". It matches the Rfam family "tRNA". Rfam says of the family: Transfer RNA (tRNA) molecules are approximately 80 nucleotides in length. Their secondary structure includes four short double-helical elements and three loops (D, anti-codon, and T loops). Further hydrogen bonds mediate the characteristic L-shaped molecular structure. tRNAs have two regions of fundamental functional importance: the anti-codon, which is responsible for specific mRNA codon recognition, and the 3' end, to which the tRNAs corresponding amino acid is attached (by aminoacyl-tRNA synthetases). tRNAs cope with the degeneracy of the genetic code in two manners: having more than one tRNA (with a specific anti-codon) for a particular amino acid; and 'wobble' base-pairing, i.e. permitting non-standard base-pairing at the 3rd anti-codon position. The record is from Rfam by way of RNAcentral. Lineage: Archaea; Methanobacteriati; Methanobacteriota; Halobacteria; Halobacteriales; Haloferacaceae.
GUGCUCGUAGUUCCAACUGGAAGAACGCUCCCGUGGCACGGGAGAGGCUGCGUGUUCGAAUCACGCCGAGUACA